RNAcentral lists this ribosomal RNA (252 nucleotides) under uncultured bacterium. Its description in RNAcentral is "partial 16S ribosomal RNA". It matches the Rfam family "Bacterial small subunit ribosomal RNA", at positions 524 to 776 of the family's 1533-position model. The record is from RNAcentral.
UACGGGGGAUGCAAGCGUUAUCCGGAUUUAUUGGGUUUAAAGGGUGCGUAGGCGGAUUUUUAAGUCAGCGGUAAAAUGUCCGGGCUCAACCCGGGCCGGCCGUUGAAACUGGGGAUCUUGAGUGGGCGAGAAGUAUGCGGAAUGCGUGGUGUAGCGGUGAAAUGCAUAGAUAUCACGCAGAACUCCGAUUGCGAAGGCAGCAUACCGGCGCCCGACUGACGCUGAGGCACGAAAGCGUGGGGAUCGAACAGG